UACCAGACUCCUACGGGAGGCAGCAGUGGGGAAUAUUGCACAAUGGGGGAAACCCUGAUGCAGCGACGCCGCGUGAGCGAUGAAGUAUUUCGGUAUGUAAAGCUCUAUCAGCAGGGAAGAAGAUGACGGUACCUGACUAAGAAGCCCCGGCUAACUACGUGCCAGCAGCCGCGGUAAUACGUAGGGGGCAAGCGUUAUCCGGAUUUACUGGGUGUAAAGGGAGCGUAGACGGCGGCGCAAGCCAGAUGUGAAAGCCCGGGGCUCAACUCCGGGACUGCAUUUGGAACUGUGUGGCUGGAGUGUCGGAGAGGCAGGCGGAAUUCCUAGUGUAGCGGUGAAAUGCGUAGAUAUUAGGAGGAACACCAGUGGCGAAGGCGGCCUGCUGGACGAUGACUGACGUUGAGGCUCGAAAGCGUGGGGAGCAAACAGGAUUAGAUACCCGCGUACG
RNAcentral lists this ribosomal RNA (448 nucleotides) under uncultured bacterium. Its description in RNAcentral is "bacterial SSU rRNA". It matches the Rfam family "Bacterial small subunit ribosomal RNA", at positions 329 to 793 of the family's 1533-position model. The record is from RNAcentral.